Molecule: ribosomal RNA, 498 nt
Filed under: uncultured bacterium
Lineage: Bacteria
Description: bacterial SSU rRNA
Rfam family: Bacterial small subunit ribosomal RNA
Source: RNAcentral
CCUGGCUCAGGAUGAACGCUAGCGGCAGGCUUAACACAUGCAAGUCGAGGGGUAACAGGGAGUAGCAAUACUCUGCUGACGACCGGCGCACGGGUGCGUAACGCGUAUGCAACCUACCUGUAACAGGGGAAUAACGGAGAGAAAUUUCCACUAAUACCCCAUAUUGUUGAAGAUUCGCAUGUUUCUUCAACGAAAGCUUCGGUGGUUACGGAUGGGCAUGCGUGACAUUAGGUAGUUGGUGAGGCAACGGCUCACCAAGCCGACGAUGUCUAGGGGAGCUGAGAGGCUUAUCCCCCACACUGGUACUGAGACACGGACCAGACUCCUACGGGAGGCAGCAGUGAGGAAUAUUGGUCAAUGGACGGAAGUCUGAACCAGCCAUGCCGCGUGGAGGAAGAAGGUCCUAUGGGUUGUAAACUCCUUUUGUUCCAGAGUAAUAAGGGCUUUGCGAAGCCUGAUGAGAGUAUGGGACGAAUAAGCAUCGGCUAACUCCGUGCC